CCUACGGGAGGCAGCAGUAGGGAAUAUUGGGCAAUGGAGGCAACUCUGACCCAGCCAUGCCGCGUGCAGGAAGAAGGCGUUAUGCGUUGUAAACUGCUUUUAUAUAGGAAGAAAUAGACCUUGCGAGGUAAGUUGACGGUACUAUAUGAAUAAGCACCGGCUAACUCCGUGCCAGCAGCCGCGGUAAUACGGAGGGUGCAAGCGUUGUCCGGAUUUAUUGGGUUUAAAGGGUGCGUAGGCGGUUUAUUAAGUCAGUGGUGAAAGACGGUCGCUCAACGAUUGCAGUGCCAUUGAUACUGGUAGACUUGAGUGGGAUUGAGGUAGCUGGAAUGGAUAGUGUAGCGGUGAAAUGCAUAGAUAUUAUCCAGAACACCAAUUGCGUAGGCAAGUUACUAAGUCUCAACUGACGCUGAGGCACGAAAGUGUGGGUAUCAAACAGGAUUAGAUACCCUGGUAGUCCACACUGUAAACGAUGAUAACUAACUGUUGGCUUUCGGGUCAGUGGUACAGAGAAAUCGUUAAGUUAUCCACCUGGGGAGUACGCCGGCAACGGUGAAACUCAAAUGAAAUUGACG
This 575-nucleotide ribosomal RNA is filed under the name uncultured bacterium. RNAcentral describes it as "bacterial SSU rRNA". It matches the Rfam family "Bacterial small subunit ribosomal RNA", at positions 338 to 915 of the family's 1533-position model. The record is from RNAcentral.